GAUCAGGUAGGGAUACCCGCUGAACUUAAGCAUAUCAAUAAGCGGAGG
RNAcentral lists this ribosomal RNA (48 nucleotides) under Dactuliophora sp. VU7. RNAcentral describes it as "partial 28S ribosomal RNA". Lineage: Eukaryota; Fungi; Ascomycota; Dothideomycetes; Pleosporales. The record is from RNAcentral.